This 1423-nucleotide ribosomal RNA is filed under the name Planomicrobium sp. JS-1. RNAcentral describes it as "16S ribosomal RNA". It matches the Rfam family "Bacterial small subunit ribosomal RNA". The record is from RNAcentral. Lineage: Bacteria; Bacillati; Bacillota; Bacilli; Caryophanales; Caryophanaceae.
UGCAAGUCGAGCGGAGCCUUUGGAGCUUGCUCCAUUGUGUUUAGCGGCGGACGGGUGAGUAACACGUGGGCAACCUGCCCUGCAGAUCGGGAUAACUCCGGGAAACCGGUGCUAAUACCGAAUAGUUUUUUGCCCCUCCUGGGGCGAAACGGAAAGACGGUUUCGGCUGUCACUGCAGGAUGGGCCCGCGGCGCAUUAGCUAGUUGGUGGGGUAAUGGCCCACCAAGGCGACGAUGCGUAGCCGACCUGAGAGGGUGAUCGGCCACACUGGGACUGAGACACGGCCCAGACUCCUACGGGAGGCAGCAGUAGGGAAUCUUCCGCAAUGGACGCAAGUCUGACGGAGCAACGCCGCGUGAGUGACGAAGGUUUUCGGAUCGUAAAACUCUGUUGUGAGGGAAGAACAAGUACCAACUAACUACUGGUACCUUGACGGUACCUCACCAGAAAGCCACGGCUAACUACGUGCCAGCAGCCGCGGUAAUACGUAGGUGGCAAGCGUUGUCCGGAAUUAUUGGGCGUACAGCGCGCGCAGGGCGCUCCUCAGUCUGAUGUGAAAGCCCCCGGUCCACCGUGGCCGCGUCAUGGGAAGCUGGGGGACUGAGGUGCAGAGGAGGAAAGUGGACUCCCCACGGGUAGCGGGGAAUGGGGUAGAAGAGGGGGGGAACCCCCCGGGGGGGAAGUCGAUUUUUUGUUCCGUAAUUGCGGUGGGGGGGGGAAAGUGGGGGGACGCAAACGGGCUUAGACCCCUGGUUAGUCCCCCCCAGUAAACGAGGAGUGUUAAGUGUAAGGGGGUUUCCCCCCUUUUUUGUUGCAGUUAAGCCAUUAAGCAUUCCCCGGGGGGAGUAGGGCGGCAAGGUGGAAAUUCAAAGAAAUUGACGGGGGCCCCCACAAGCGGUGGACCAUGUGUUUUAUUUGGAAGCACGGGGAAGACCCUUACCAGUUCUGGACAUCCCGCUGACCCCUUAAGAGAUAAGGCUUUCCCUUCGGGGACAGCGGUGACAGGUGGUGCAUGGUUGUCUUCAGCUCGUGUCGUGAGAUGUUGGUUUAAGUCCCGCAACGAGCCCAACCCUUGUUUUUAGUUGCCACCAUUCAGUUGGCCAUUUUAAGGUGACUGCCGGUGACAAACCGGAGGAAGGUGGGGAUGACGUCAAAUCUUCAUGCCCCUUAUGACCUGGGCUACACACGUGUUCCAAUGGACGGUACAAAGGGCAGCCAACCCGCGAGGGGGAGCCAAUCCCAGAAAACCGUUUUCAGUUCGGAUUCCAGGCUGCAAUUCGCUUGCAUGAAGCCGGAAUCGUUGGUAAUCGUGGAUCACCAUGCCACGGUGAAUACGUUCCCGGCCCUGGUACACACCCCCCGUCCCACCACGAGAGUUUUAACACCGGAAGUCGGUGAGGUAACCCUUGUGAGCCAGCCGCCG